Molecule: non-coding RNA, 214 nt
Organism: Cinara cedri
Lineage: Eukaryota; Metazoa; Arthropoda; Insecta; Hemiptera; Aphididae
Source: the annotation of a GenBank genome assembly
CAGGGAUUUCAAAAUUAAAUUCGAACAAUAUCGUGUAAUAUUGUAUACACGUUAUUCAAAAUGUAUUACGUAUUCAUGGUAUUUUAGAGAUAGAAAAUAGAGCGAGUUCCGCAAUUCGUAACAAAUUCAUCAUAAACAAUUUACGUACACCUGUUAUCUUUCUUUUAUAUUGCUGUAUGCAAUUAUAGAGUACGGACGAGAGAGAAAGAAUAGA